UACGGAGGGUGCAAGCGUUAUCCGGAUUCACUGGGUUUAAAGGGUGCGUAGGUGGGAAUGUAAGUCAGUGGUGAAAUCUCCGUGCUUAACAUGGAAACUGCCAUUGAUACUAUGUUUCUUUGAAUUUUCUGGAGGUAAGCGGAAUAUGUCAUGUAGCGGUGAAAUGCUUAGAUAUGACAUAGAACACCAAUUGCGAAGGCAGCUUACUAUGGUAUGAUUGACGCUGAGGCACGAAAGCGUGGGGAUCAAACAGG
Molecule: ribosomal RNA, 254 nt
Filed under: uncultured bacterium
Lineage: Bacteria
Description: partial 16S ribosomal RNA
Rfam family: Bacterial small subunit ribosomal RNA
Source: RNAcentral